GAAAAUUGAAGAAGAGAAAAAGAAAAAGAAGAUAAAUAAUGAUGACGAAGAUAAGCACCCAACCUAUAGAGGGGUACGUAAGAGGAGUUGGGGCAAAUGGGUGUCCGAAAUUCGCGAACCAAAAAAGAAAUCAAGAAUAUGGCUAGGUACUUAUCCAACGGCUCAAAUGGCAGCUCGAGCUCACGACGUGGCAGCUUUAGCCAUCAAAGGAUGUUCGGCUCACCUUAAUUUUCCUCAUUUGGUUGAUCAAUACCCACAUCCGGCUUCCACUUGUCACAAGGAUAUCCAAGCAGCAGCCGCAAAGGCUGCUGCCAUCCCAUUUCCCGAGGAAGACGAGGAAGAGGAAGAUCAAAUCGAGUCGGAUCAAGUUGAAUUACGA
This 379-nucleotide unclassified non-coding RNA is filed under the name Hevea brasiliensis (rubber tree). The record is from RNAcentral. Lineage: Eukaryota; Viridiplantae; Streptophyta; Magnoliopsida; Malpighiales; Euphorbiaceae.